UCACGCGCCCUGCGAUUGGCUCGCAGGGACCCUCUGUUUCUCACGCCGCCCAAUCAGCGGUAGGUGAGGCGACCGCUCCAUUUCUCAGCCAAUGAGGAGGAUCGAACGAUGGACUGCCGACUCUGGGCCCGCCCCCAGUGGCGGGCGACCGCGCGCCGGCUCUGCGCAAGCGCAGGGAUUUGCCGGGAUUCGAGUCCCCGCAGGCGCCGGGUCUGCGUAGGAGCUGGGACUGCGCAGGCGCGUGGCGUCGGACUUCCCUGGAGAGAGCCUGGACUGCCCCUGAGUGGAAGGUUCCCGCGGGCGGACUCGGUAGGGGACCACACCCCGAAGAGCUGUUCCACCGGGCUGGACUCAGGGGUGCGGGAGCCCAGAGGGCCUCAGCCGCUCCGGACGACAGACGGGGUGACCGCGUCAGGGGUGCCGCCGAGCUGAAGGGCAAGCUCCGGGGUCUCGGGCCCCGCGGGGCGCGUAGGUCCUCCUCGCCCCUGACCGUCGGGGUCUCUCCGUCCCCGUGGGGAGCAUAGGUCCUCCUCGCGCCUCGACACUUGAGGUCCCCCGUGCUACAGUGGUCUGGCAUUCCAAUGGGGUCUGCACCCCUGCCCCGACCUGUGCUGGGUUGGGGGGCGCUAAGGGAUGAAUGGUGUCAGAGAUAGGCUCUUUCAAACCUCAAUCCUCCCCUUUUUUAAGAUUUAUUUACGUAUUUGGGGGAGGAGGAAGAGGCAGAAAGAGAAUCUCCAGCAGACCCCCGCAGAGUGUGGAGGCCGACUGGGAGAUUGAUUCCACCACGCUGAGAUCAUCCCCUGAGCAGAAAUCAAGAGUUGGACCCUUAACCCACUAAGCCACCCAGGCGCCUCACUCACUCCCUUUUUUUUUUAAGCUGCAGAAAAGCAGGGAUCUUUUUUUACAUUCUUAACUUGGAUUGCCAUAUCUAUAUGCACAUUGAGUUUUUUAUUGUAAAAUAUUCGUAGUGUAAAACUGACCAUUUUAAACAUUUUCAAGUGUAUGGUUCUGUGACAUUAAGCCCAUUCCCCUUUGACAGCCACAGAACAUUUUCUUUAUCGUAAACUGAAACUCGUAGCCUUUAAAUACUGAUUUCCAAUUUCCCCUUCCCUUUGUAAACAUUGAUUUUUACUUUUAAAAUGUCCGAGAAUCAGUCAAGUUGUGAGUAUGCAGAAUGAAUCCUCCCACCCCAGCCUCCACCCAGUUCUCUUCCCAGAAGUGUGUUAGUUCUUCGUGCAUGUUUCCAUCACCAGCUCGUGCGUGAUAACAUUCAAAGACCUUUUUCCCCACCCUGCUUUUCCAACUUAGGUGCUCCUUGGAGAUCAUCCCAAUUCAGUACAGACGUGCCCCCGGGUCUGUUGUCUAGAUGUGCUUUAAUCUUCCCAACUCACCUCCUGUUGGGGCACAGUUAGGUGGUUGCCAGUUUUGUUUUGUUUUUAUAGUAUAAGCUGCUUUUUAUGUAUCACAUCUUGUGUAAUUGUUAGUAUUCCUUAGGAGAAAUUUCAGGAAUUGGAAUCACCGGGCCAAGUAGAACGUGUCAGGUAAUUCUGAUAGCUGUUGGCAAGUCCCUGGAAGGAAGUUGAAUUAGUUGUUGAAGCCUGGCCACCGGAAUGUGGAGGUAUGCGCGCCGUCUCCAGGCUCCUCAGUCUGAUGGUGUUUCAAAGCCAUCCUAACGGGUGUGAAGUUGCUUCUCGUAGUGGUUUUGGUCUGCAUUCCCAGACUUCCCUUUAUUUCGGGUAAUCUCCCAGUGUUGAUGAAAGGAGGUCUCGGGUGGUGUCUCUCCGGUGUUAACGUGCACCCAAGUCAUCUAGGGAGUUUGUGGAAAUCCUGAUUCAGGAGAUCUGGAGUGUGGCCUCUGCAUUUCCAGCAGGCACCAGGGGAUGCCAGUAACAACCUGCUGGUCUGAGGGCCACGCCUUGAGUAGCAAAGACAGACGACAAGACGUUCAUCGGCUCCAGAGUUAGGCACACCUAACUCAGGGACGAUUCAGUGUUGUGGAUCCAGGGCCACCUUGGCUACAGCCAAGCAUUUUCAGACGCUAGGCACCUGCUGACAUCAAGGGAAGGAGCCAGCUGUGUGACUGUCUCAUCAUCACAAAACGAAGGCUCCAAAGCCUGUGAUUCUCUUCUAAGCUCUGCUGAAGUCAUGUACGCUCCUCUCUGUUCAUUCGUGAAGUCUUACCGGGGCCUUUCCAGCAGGGCACGGUGCCAGGUGAGGCCGGAGGGAGCCCUGUCCUCAGGAGGUUCACAGCCUACCUGUGGAGAUGAGACAACCCCUAGAGUGAACAACACAGUGGAGACAGUGGCGCGUUGCUGGAGCUGCUGUGACUGCUCAGGCCCCACAGACAAGGAAGAAGGUCUGGCUUUCAGUCUGGGGGAUGACAUGAUUGUAACUGUAUCUUGAACAAAGAUCACUCACUGGUCACAUGGAUGAGUUGGAGCAGGGAGACCCCUAAAAGGUUGUCAUGGUCGUCUGUAAGCUCCAUUGUCUGCUGCAGCCUAGAUGGUGACGUCUGUCAUCUAUAACUAUGGAGGUCUGUGACGUCUGUCAUCUGUAGACUGGAUGGUUUGUCGUCGGUAGACCUUGACGGCCCAUGUCGACUGUUGUCUCCAGGCCGUGAUGGCCUAUGUCGUCUGUUGUGUCUAGACCAAGGCAGUCUGUGUCUCCUGUCUGUAGACGUGGUCUGUGAUGUCUGUCAUCCCUUGUAACGCAGACUAUGGUGGUCUAUAAUGGAAGUUCUGACCAGCAUUGGAGGGCCAGCAAAGGGAGUCUGAGACCUUGAGAAGUCUGUGGGAAGAAAACAUGACAUGUGUUGAGAUCUCGGGGUCGGGACUGAGGAGAUGAGAUGCAUAAACGAUCACGGCAGAUCCCACUCCUAAGAAUUCUAGAAAGUGGGGGGCGCCUGGGUGGCACAGCGGUUGAGCGUCUGCCUUCGGCUCAGGGCGUGAUCCCAGAGUUGUGGGAUCGAGCCCCACGUCGGGCUCCUCUGCUGUGAGCCUGCUUCUUCCUCUCCCACUCCCCCUGCUUGUGUUCCCUCUCUCGCUGGCUGUCUCUAUCUCUGUCGAAUAAAUAAAAUCUUUAAAAAAAAAAAAAAAAAGAAUUCUAGAAAGUGCCAGCAACCAACCUGUGUGAUUGAAGGCAGCUGCGUGGUUGAU
Long non-coding RNA from Ailuropoda melanoleuca (giant panda), 3155 nucleotides. RefSeq lists it as uncharacterized. The transcript has 5 exons. The record is from RefSeq and is a predicted model, not a curated record. Lineage: Eukaryota; Metazoa; Chordata; Mammalia; Carnivora; Ursidae.